RNAcentral lists this ribosomal RNA (460 nucleotides) under uncultured bacterium. RNAcentral describes it as "partial 16S ribosomal RNA". It matches the Rfam family "Bacterial small subunit ribosomal RNA", at positions 338 to 795 of the family's 1533-position model. The record is from RNAcentral.
CCUACGGGAGGCAGCAGUGAGGAAUAUUGGUCAAUGGACGAGAGUCUGAACCAGCCAAGUAGCGUGAAGGAUGACUGACCUAUGGGUUGUAAACUUCUUUUAUAUGGGAAUAAAAUGUUCCACGUGUGGGAUUUUGUAUGUACCAAAUGAAUCAGGAUUGGCUAACUCCGUGCCAGGAGCCGCGUUAAGACGGAGGAUCCGAGCGUUAACCGGGUGUCUUGGGGUUAAAGGGAGCGUAGGUGGAUUGUUAAGUCAGUUGUGAAAUGUUGCGGCUCAACCGUAAAAUUGCAGUUGAAACUGGCAGUCUUGAGUACAGUAGAGGUGGGCGGAAUUCGUGGUGUAGCGGUGAAAUGCGUAGAUAUCACGAAGAUCUCCGAUUGCGAAGGCAGCUCACUGGCCUGCAACUGACACUGAGGCUCGAAAGUGUGGGUAUCAAACAGGAUUAGAUACCCGAGUAGUC